ACGGAGGGUGCAAGCGUUAUCCGGAUUCACUGGGUUUAAAGGGUGCGUAGGCGGAUAUGUAAGUCCGUGGUGAAAUCUCUGGGCUUAACCCGGAAACUGCCAUGGAUACUAUGUGUCUUGAAUGUUGUUGAGGUGAGCGGAAUAUGUCAUGUAGCGGUGAAAUGCUUAGAUAUGACAUAGAACACCCAUUGCGAAGGCAGCUCACUACGGGAAUAUUGACACUGAGGCACGAAAGCGUGGGGAUCAAACAGGA
This 253-nucleotide ribosomal RNA is filed under the name uncultured prokaryote. Its description in RNAcentral is "partial 16S ribosomal RNA". It matches the Rfam family "Bacterial small subunit ribosomal RNA", at positions 525 to 777 of the family's 1533-position model. The record is from RNAcentral.